Molecule: ribosomal RNA, 727 nt
Filed under: uncultured bacterium
Lineage: Bacteria
Description: bacterial SSU rRNA
Rfam family: Bacterial small subunit ribosomal RNA
Source: RNAcentral
GGGUGAGUAACGGGUAUGGAACCUUCCCGUAGCAGGGGGAUAAGCGGAAGAAAUUCCGUCUAAUACCGCGUAAUAACUCCGAGGGGCAUCUCUUGGGGUUUAAAGGGUAACACCGGCUACGGAUGGCCAUGCGGCGCAUUAGCUAGUUGGCGGGGUAACGGCCCACCAAGGCGACGAUGCGUAGGGGUUCUGAGAGGAAGGUCCCCCACACUGGUACUGAGACACGGACCAGACUCCUACGGGAGGCAGCAGUGAGGAAUAUUGGUCAAUGGGCGCGAGCCUGAACCAGCCAAGUCGCGUGAGGGAAGACGGUCCUAUGGAUUGUAAACCUCUUUUGUCGGGGAGCAAAAGACGCCACGCGUGGCGUUCCGAGAGUACCCGAAGAAAAAGCAUCGGCUAACUCCGUGCCAGCAGCCGCGGUAAUACGGGGGAUGCGAGCGUUAUCCGGAUUUAUUGGGUUUAAAGGGUGCGCAGGCGGAAGAUCAAGUCAGCGGUAAAAUUGAGAGGCUCAACCUCUUCGAGCCGUUGAAACUGGUUUUCUUGAGUGAGCGAGAAGUAUGCGGAAUGCGUGGUGUAGCGGUGAAAUGCAUAGAUAUCACGCAGAACUCCGAUUGCGAAGGCAGCAUACCGGCGCUCAACUGACGCUCAUGCACGAAAGUGUGGGUAUCGAACAGGAUUAGAUACCCUGGUAGUCCACACAGUAAACGAUGAAAACGAAUUGUUCGGG